Hypanus sabinus (Atlantic stingray) is the source of this 72-nucleotide small nucleolar RNA. RefSeq annotates it as small nucleolar RNA SNORD18. The transcript has a single exon. The record is from RefSeq and is a predicted model, not a curated record. NCBI's taxonomy places the organism in Eukaryota, Metazoa, Chordata, Chondrichthyes, Myliobatiformes, Dasyatidae.
AGGCAGUGAUGAGAUUCCACUUCAUGGUCCGUGUUUUUGAUGCCAUGUGAUAUUUGUGGAAGUUCUGAUGUC